AAAUAAGUAAACUAUUGUAUCAUAAUUUUAUUUAUUUAUGCUAUAAAAUCUUAUAUUUCAAUUUUGGUCUUAUGUAUGAUUAUCUAAAAUACAUAUUUGUUGGACCGGAUCACCAAUGGUCUAUUUAAAAUGUUAACAAACAAAUUAAUAGCUUUUUUUCUAUAGUUUUACAGCAUGUUAAAUAAAAAAUAUGAUGUAACAUGCUAUUACCGGGAUAUCAAUGGUAUAAUAGAAUAAAAAUAAAUUUGUUCAAUUGAGCAUAAUUUUCAUUGACCUAGGUAAAUUUAUGUUAUUGGUUGCCAUUUUAGAUCAUUUUGCUUAUCUUUUAUAGUUAAUAUUACUAUUAUAAAGUAGCUCGAUCCAUGCAGGCACAAACAAAUUCUGAUAAAAUGACCAUUUUACCCUCGUUUAUUAAAUUACCAACCAUAAGAAAAGACUAUGACCCAAUCAAAUAGUGGUUGGAUCCUUGCCAAUUGCCAUCACACAAAUCUAGAAUUCAAACAUAAAAAAUGAGGAAAAAUACAAAUUUGGCACCUGAUUCUUAACAAGAGAGAUAACUCGCAGGCAUCAACAAGCACAUGGUGGUCGGAAAUGGUGGUGGUUGUAGGCAGCAUUAUGAAACCGAAACCAGUCAGACUAAUAUACAUACCACCACAUUCGAUGAAACAUCCCCAAAAUAUGACACAAAAAUUUUGUUUUCAGAUCAUUAUUAAAAUCAUAAACUAUCCAAAGUUAUAAGAAAAUUCAUAAAUCAUGUAGCAUAAAACAUCAUAGUAUCUGUCUCAAAUCAAAAUCUCAUAACAAAACAUCAGAGUAAACUCCCAGGCUAUGACUGUGGUGUGUGACAUUCGAUCAUCCCGAGCGCUUCCCUUUGCUAGUGGAAGUACGUGAAACCAAAACUGAAAACUGUAAGCACGAAGCUUAGUGAGCUCCCCCAAACUACCACAUACCAUACAAUGACACAUAUACCACAUACUGGGCCUUGCCCACUGCAUCCGGCCCCGCCCGGCAUCGGACCGAAGUCUAGCAUAAAUUGGGCCCCGCCCGGCAUCAGACCGAAGUCCGGAAUAACUGAACAUAACAUAAACAUGAACAUAUAACACAUAGCAUAAACAUGCAUGAAUCACAAAGAUAUCAAGCAUAAAUAACUACUUCUCGGGACAACCCCGGCAUCGGGCUUACCCCGGCAUACUGCAACUACAUAAACAGGCCAGCAUUGGUGCCUUAGACGCGUUCCUACUGGAGGAAAAACUAACCUCUCAAACUGACUGUUGAAUAACCCGUGCAA
RNAcentral lists this long non-coding RNA (1288 nucleotides) under Lactuca sativa (garden lettuce). RNAcentral's name for it is "long non-coding RNA (LSAT_LNC001001)". The record is from RNAcentral. Lineage: Eukaryota; Viridiplantae; Streptophyta; Magnoliopsida; Asterales; Asteraceae.